CUUUACUGUAGCUUGGAAUUGAAUUUGGGUUUAUUUUGCGCAGAAUAGGUGGGAGGCUAAGAUAUUUUACUUGAGGGUAAAAAAGAGCCAACAGUGAGAUACCACUCUAAUUAAACUAGAAUUCUAAUCUUGAAGCCGUUAUCCGGCCAAGAUACAUUUUCAGGUGGGCAGUUUGACUGGGGCGGUCGCCUCCUAAAAAGUAACGGAGGCGUGCAAAGGUUCCUUCAGACUGGUCGGAAAUCAGUCGUAGAGUAUAAAGGCAAAAAGGAGCUUGACUGCAAGACUUACAAGUCGAGCAGAGACGAAAGUCGGCCUUAGUGAUCCGACAGUGCUGAGUGGAAAGGCUGUCGCUCAACGGAUAAAAGUUA
This 368-nucleotide ribosomal RNA is filed under the name Heterosiphonia sp. ARS-2011. Its description in RNAcentral is "bacterial LSU rRNA". It matches the Rfam family "Bacterial large subunit ribosomal RNA", at positions 2099 to 2465 of the family's 2925-position model. The record is from RNAcentral. Lineage: Eukaryota; Rhodophyta; Florideophyceae; Ceramiales; Dasyaceae.